RNAcentral lists this ribosomal RNA (322 nucleotides) under uncultured eukaryote. Its description in RNAcentral is "partial 18S ribosomal RNA". It matches the Rfam family "Eukaryotic small subunit ribosomal RNA", at positions 1470 to 1796 of the family's 1831-position model. The record is from RNAcentral.
CCCUUAGAUGUUCUGGGCCGCACGCGUGCUACACUGAGUGGAUCAGCGGGUCAGGUUGCGCGAAAGUGUUUCCUAAUCUUUAAAUCCGCUCGUGAUGGGGAUUGACGGUUGCAAUUUUCCGUCAUGAACGAGGAAUACCUUGUAAGCGCGGGUCAUCAUCCCGCGCUGAAUACGUCCCUGCCCUUUGUACACACCGUCCGUCGCUCCUACCGAUUGAGUGGUCCGGUGAGGCUUUGGGAUCUGAGCGGAAAGAGUGUUUCGCUGUUUCUGCCCGGAAAACUCAGUCGAACCUUAUCAUUUAGAGGAAGGAGAAGUCGUAACA